AGUUAAACAGUACGUGAAAUUGUUGAAAGGGAAACGAUUGAAGUCAGUCAUACUAACGGGAAAUCAACCUCUUGAGUUUGGUCUCGUGGGUUUCGAAGAGUUUAAAAGCCUUCGGAUUUUCGAGAUUGGGCUCUUCUGGUGUACUUUCUCGUACGGUUAGUCAACAUCGGUUUUGAAUGUCAUAAAAUGACUGGAGGAAUGUGGCUUCGAUCUCGUAUUGAAGUGUUAUAACCUUUGGUAGAUGUGAUGUUUGAGACCGAGGAUUGCAACGGAUACCCUUCUGGGCUAUUCGUCUGAUCUCUGAAACGUUGCCUUGAUGUCGAAAGCUUGCUUAUGAUGUUAGGGUAUUACGGUCAAAAGGUUAGAACGGAUUAAAUUCGUUAAGGAUGUUGACGUAAUGACUUUAAA
Molecule: unclassified non-coding RNA, 408 nt
Filed under: uncultured Funneliformis
Lineage: Eukaryota; Fungi; Glomeromycota; Glomeromycetes; Glomerales; Glomeraceae
Description: sequence contains 28S rRNA gene
Source: RNAcentral